GUCGUUAUAAGUAAAAGGGGGAAAGAAUUUAAGAUUCUUUACGCUUUGGUGUAUUCUCUAUUGCAUACGUCAGAAAUAUGUAAAAAUACUAAAUGUAUGUUUUGAAAUAUUUUCCAAUGUAAUAAUAUUAAACUGCAUUUGAUGUAGCUCCACAGAGCAAAUUUAUUUAUUCCUUUCCCUUCUCUUUUUUCUGUAUCCCCAUUAACUUUUUUUUGUAUUUACUGUAUUUAUGUGGUUUAUUAAAAAAAGAAAAGAAAAAUUAAGACAUUAAAAAAAAAA
Pelobates cultripes (western spadefoot toad) is the source of this 279-nucleotide non-coding RNA. Lineage: Eukaryota; Metazoa; Chordata; Amphibia; Anura; Pelobatidae. The record is from the annotation of a GenBank genome assembly.